ACGAUGAUGCCCAGCUUGCUGGGCGGAUUAGUGGCGAACGGGUGAGUAAUACGUGAGUAACCUGCCCUUGACUCUGGGAUAAGCCUGGGAAACUGGGUCUAAUACUGGAUACUACCGUCCACCGCAUGGUGGGUGGUGGAAAGGGUUUUACUGGUUUUGGAUGGGCUCACGGCCUAUCAGCUUGUUGGUGGGGUAAUGGCUCACCAAGGCGACGACGGGUAGCCGGCCUGAGAGGGUGACCGGCCACACUGGGACUGAGACACGGCCCAGACUCCUACGGGAGGCAGCAGUGGGGAAUAUUGCACAAUGGGCGGAAGCCUGAUGCAGCGACGCCGCGUGAGGGAUGACGGCCUUCGGGUUGUAAACCUCUUUCAGUAGGGAAGAAGCGAGAGUGACGGUACCUGCAGAAGAAGCGCCGGCUAACUACGUGCCAGCAGCCGCGGUAAUACGUAGGGCGCAAGCGUUGUCCGGAAUUAUUGGGCGUAAAGAGCUCGUAGGCGGUUUGUCGCGUCUGCUGUGAAAGCCCGGGGCUCAACCCCGGGUCUGCAGUGGGUACGGGCAGACUAGAGUGCAGUAGGGGAGACUGGAAUUCCUGGUGUAGCGGUGAAAUGCGCAGAUAUCAGGAGGAACACCGAUGGCGAAGGCAGGUCUCUGGGCUGUUACUGACGCUGAGGAGCGAAAGCAUGGGGAGCGAACAGGAUUAGAUACCCUGGUAGUCCAUGCCGUAAACGUUGGGCACUAGGUGUGGGGGACAUUCCACGUUUUCCGCGCCGUAGCUAACGCAUUAAGUGCCCCGCCUG
This 800-nucleotide ribosomal RNA is filed under the name Kocuria sp. K59. Its description in RNAcentral is "bacterial SSU rRNA". It matches the Rfam family "Bacterial small subunit ribosomal RNA", at positions 66 to 875 of the family's 1533-position model. The record is from RNAcentral. Lineage: Bacteria; Bacillati; Actinomycetota; Actinomycetes; Micrococcales; Micrococcaceae.